Molecule: long non-coding RNA, 832 nt
Organism: Bubalus bubalis (water buffalo)
Lineage: Eukaryota; Metazoa; Chordata; Mammalia; Artiodactyla; Bovidae
Exons: 12
Source: RefSeq, a predicted model, not a curated record
GCGCUUGCGCCCGCCGUAGUCCCGCCCCCAAAUCCCGUGGGCCUCUGCGAGAUGGUAUUUAUGUGUUUCGCGGUAGGCCUUCGGUCUCAUUUAGCCACAGCUCUCGGGUUCGGACGCGCGCCGAACGCUGAAGGAUCGCAAACCGGUCUCAUUGGAAUGUGGUUUAAUUCAAAGGAGCUUACAGAUUGGAGGAUGAGUCAAGACUUACUCCUGUGUGGAUCAAGUGUGGUGAUGCUGCAGUAUCUCCUCACCAGUCUUGAGGAAUUCAACUGCCUCCCAGGCUGAAUGCAGAUUGUCACAGCAUUAAUAGAGUCAUCUGUCUUACAGUGCCUCUUGAUCUGCUCAGGAUGACUUCUACAAAGAGUCAAGAGGAGCAGCUUGUUGCUAUACACUCCUGGAAAGCCUCCAGAGUUAAAAGGUACCAUUGCCAGUUACCGUUGCUCAGAGGUACAGCUCCUUGUCUGGUGCCUGAGAAUGAUUUUAGGGGAAAGGAGUAAGCCAUAUAUCUGCUCCACUGUAGUCUGAAGUUGAGAGUCCCAGAGCCUGUAAAGGUGAACCCACUGGGGCUGGCUGGGGGAGAAGAGGAAAGCUUGUUCCAGAGGGAACUGUCUGAGGGAUCAUGAGAGUUCCUAAACAAGGCAAAGGGGGAAUAAAUGACUGAUUGAAAGGCAGAUAUUUUUUUUUCCCCCUAGAUCUGAAGAAAGAACAAAGCACAGAUAAUGGAAUCCAAUGUGGAAGAUGUCAAAACUGAAAAAUCCUUGUACAGAUUGCCUGUUCAAAUUAGCAUACAAUCAUUUCAGCCUUUCUAAAUAAAAAUUUUUUUAAACCUUCA